RNAcentral lists this ribosomal RNA (497 nucleotides) under uncultured bacterium. Its description in RNAcentral is "partial 16S ribosomal RNA". It matches the Rfam family "Bacterial small subunit ribosomal RNA", at positions 28 to 507 of the family's 1533-position model. The record is from RNAcentral.
GAUGAACGCUGGCGGCGUGCCUAAUACAUGCAAGUCGAGCGAACGGACGAGAAGCUUGCUUCUCUGAUGUUAGCGGCGGACGGGUGAGUAACACGUGGAUAACCUACCUAUAAGACUGGGAUAACUUCGGGAAACCGGAGCUAAUACCGGAUGAUAUUUUGAACCGCAUGGUUCAAAAGUGAAAGACGGUCUUGCUGUCACUUAUAGAUGGAUCCGCGCUGCAUUAGCUAGUUGGUAAGGUAACGGCUUACCAAGGCAACGAUGCAUAGCCGACCUGAGAGGGGGAUCGGCCCCAUUGGAACUGAGACACGGUCCAGACUCCUACGGGAGGCAGCCGGAGGGAAUCUUCCGCAAUGGGCGAAAGCCUGACGGAGCAACGCCGCGUGAGUGAUGAAGGUCUUCGGAUCGUAAAACUCUGUUAUUAGGGAAGAACAUAUGUGUAAGUAACUGUGCACAUCUUGACGGUACCUAAUCAGAAAGCCACGGCUAACUACGUG